GCAGUGGUGGUUCAGUGGCAGAAUCCUUGCUUUCCAAGUGGGACACCCUGGUUCGAUUCCCAGCCAAUGCA
Molecule: transfer RNA, 71 nt
Filed under: Loxodonta africana (African savanna elephant)
Lineage: Eukaryota; Metazoa; Chordata; Mammalia; Proboscidea; Elephantidae
Rfam family: tRNA
About the family: Transfer RNA (tRNA) molecules are approximately 80 nucleotides in length. Their secondary structure includes four short double-helical elements and three loops (D, anti-codon, and T loops).
Source: Rfam by way of RNAcentral